Non-coding RNA from Schistosoma rodhaini, 31 nucleotides. Lineage: Eukaryota; Metazoa; Platyhelminthes; Trematoda; Strigeidida; Schistosomatidae. The record is from Rfam.
GACGAGUCCCAAAUAGGACGAAACGCGCGUC